This 293-nucleotide long non-coding RNA is filed under the name Elaeis guineensis (African oil palm). RNAcentral's name for it is "long non-coding RNA (EGUI_LNC042285)". The record is from RNAcentral. Lineage: Eukaryota; Viridiplantae; Streptophyta; Magnoliopsida; Arecales; Arecaceae.
GUGGGCAGCAAAGCUGCAAGCUUUGGUAAUGCAUCUGCCUUGACAUUGUCCACUCUAGGGACUUGCUAAAUAUUUUCUUCUCGAGCUUCAUAGCCACCCUUGAUAUCGCCAACCACUAACUGCAAGUUGCUAAUGACCUUCAGAUGCUGGGCCCCUACUUCCCUUACCACCCGGAGGCCAAAAAGUAGAGCUUCAUACUCCGCCUCAUUAUUAGUGGCAGAGAAGUCAAAACGUAAGGCGUAUCCUGCCACCUCUCCUUCAGGAUUGGUUAGAAUGAGUUCAGCCCCUGCUCU